Molecule: non-coding RNA, 49 nt
Filed under: Massilia sp. WF1
Lineage: Bacteria; Pseudomonadati; Pseudomonadota; Betaproteobacteria; Burkholderiales; Oxalobacteraceae
Also listed under: 1 other name
Description: Guanidine-II riboswitch aptamer (mini-ykkC)
Rfam family: Guanidine-II riboswitch aptamer (mini-ykkC)
About the family: Simpler in structure and has fewer highly conserved nucleotide positions than the ykkC-yxkD leader. Despite this each of its two stem-loop structures directly bind free guanidine.
Source: Rfam by way of RNAcentral
GCAGAAGGACGACCUUCCCCCUGUCGGGAACACAUGCGGGACGGCCCGG